CAGCCGCCACGGUAAUACGUAGGGUGCGAGCGUUAAUCGGAAUUACUGGGCGUAAAGCGUGCGCAGGCGGUUCGUUAAGACAGAUGUGAAAUCCCCGGGCUUAACUUGGGAACUGCAUUUGUGACUGGCGAGCUAGAGUAUGGCAGAGGGGGGUAGAAUUCCACGUGUAGCAGUGAAAUGCGUAGAGAUCUGGAGGAAUACCGGUGGCGAAGGCGGCCCCCUGGACGAAGACUGACGCUCAGGUACGAAAGCGUGGGGAGCAAACAGGAUUAGAUACCCCUGUAGUCCCUGUCUCUUAUAC
This 301-nucleotide ribosomal RNA is filed under the name uncultured bacterium. Its description in RNAcentral is "partial 16S ribosomal RNA". It matches the Rfam family "Bacterial small subunit ribosomal RNA", at positions 509 to 807 of the family's 1533-position model. The record is from RNAcentral.